This 200-nucleotide ribosomal RNA is filed under the name uncultured bacterium. Its description in RNAcentral is "partial 16S ribosomal RNA". It matches the Rfam family "Bacterial small subunit ribosomal RNA", at positions 29 to 254 of the family's 1533-position model. The record is from RNAcentral.
AGCGAACGCUGGCGGCAGGCUUAACACAUGCAAGUCGAGCGGGCGUAGCAAUACGUCAGCGGCAGACGGGUGAGUAACGCGUGGGAACGUACCUUUUGGUUCGGAACAACUGAGGGAAACUUCAGCUAAUACCGGAUAAGCCCUUACGGGGAAAGAUUUAUCGCCGAAAGAUCGGCCCGCGUCUGAUUAGCUAGUUGGUG